This 326-nucleotide ribosomal RNA is filed under the name uncultured Bacteroidota bacterium. Its description in RNAcentral is "bacterial SSU rRNA". It matches the Rfam family "Bacterial small subunit ribosomal RNA", at positions 28 to 351 of the family's 1533-position model. Lineage: Bacteria; Pseudomonadati; Bacteroidota. The record is from RNAcentral.
GAUGAACGCUAGCGGCAGGCUUAAUACAUGCAAGUCGAGGGGCAGCGGGGGUAGCAAUACCUGCCGGCGACCGGCGCACGGGUGCGUAACGCGCAUGCAACCUACCUUUAACCGGAGGAUAGCCCCGAGAAAUCGGGAUUAAUACUCCAUAACAUUGCAAAAAGGCAUCUUUUCGCAAUUAAAGCUCAGGCGGUUUUAGAUGGGCAUGCGUGACAUUAGCUAGUUGGUGAGGUGACGGCUUACCAAGGCGACGAUGUCUAGGGGUUCUGAGAGGAUUAUCCCCCACACUGGUACUGAGACACGGACCAGACACCUACGGGUGGCAG